Molecule: ribosomal RNA, 319 nt
Filed under: uncultured eukaryote
Lineage: Eukaryota
Description: partial 18S ribosomal RNA
Rfam family: Eukaryotic small subunit ribosomal RNA
Source: RNAcentral
CCCUUAGAUGUUCUGGGCAGCACGCGCGCUACAAUGGUCUUCGCAAACGGAUGCAUUCUCGAAGGAGAAUGCCAAUCUUGGAAUCUAUGCCUUGGUCGGGACAGUUGCUUGCAAUUUUUCGACUCGAACCAGGAAUUCCUUGUAAUCGUGAUUCAUCACAUCACGAUGAAUACGUCCCUGCCCUUUGUACACACCGCCCGUCGCUCCUACCGAUCGAAGAGUUAGGUGAAUUGUUUUGAUCGAUAAGAUUUGACUAUGGUCAACUCUCGUUGUGAAAUUCUGUGAAUCUGACUGUUUAGAGGAAGGAGAAGUCGUAACA